GGCUCAGGACGAACGCUGGCGGCGUGCCUAACACAUGCAAGUCGAGCGGGGAUUGUGGAGAGCUUGCUCAAAACAAUUCUAGCGGCGGACGGGUGAGUAACGCGUGAGCAACCUGCCUAUCACAGGGGAAUAACGCACCGAAAGGUGUGCUAAUACCGCAUGAGACCACAGGACCGCAUGGGUCAAGGGGUCAAAGAUUUAUCGGUGAUAGAUGGGCUCGCGUCUGAUUAGCUGGUUGGUGAGGUAACGGCCCACCAAGGCGACGAUCAGUAGCCGACCUGAGAGGGUGAUCGGCCACAUUGGAACUGAGAAACGGUCCAAACUCCUACGGGAGGCAGCAGUGGGGAAUAUUGGGCAAUGGGCGCAAGCCCUGACCCAGCAACGCCGCGUGAAGGAAGAAGGUCUUCGGGUCGUAAACUUCUAUCCUUGGUGAAGAUAAUGACGGUAGCCAAGAAGGAAGCCCCGGCUAACUACGUG
This 477-nucleotide ribosomal RNA is filed under the name uncultured bacterium. RNAcentral's name for it is "bacterial SSU rRNA". It matches the Rfam family "Bacterial small subunit ribosomal RNA", at positions 21 to 507 of the family's 1533-position model. The record is from RNAcentral.